RNAcentral lists this transfer-messenger RNA (400 nucleotides) under Bacteroidales. RNAcentral describes it as "Sulfidibacterium sp014860665 Standard tmRNA". It matches the Rfam family "transfer-messenger RNA". Rfam says of the family: Bacterial tmRNA, also known as 10Sa RNA or SsrA, is named for its dual tRNA and mRNA-like properties. Its role is to liberate the mRNA from a stalled ribosome. Lineage: Bacteria; Pseudomonadati; Bacteroidota; Bacteroidia. RNAcentral also lists the same sequence under 1 other name. The record is from RNAcentral.
GGGGCUGACUGGUUUUGACAGCAUUUGAAUGGAUAUGUAAGCAUGCCGGGUAAGGUAACAAUUCCCGUAAAACAAGGUUAUACCAAAUUUUAAUUGGCGAAAAUCAAUUUGCUCUCGCUGCUUAAUCGAAGUUUAGUAGAUUAGCUUCAUCCUUGGUCUAGGUUACCAGGGACGAGACGGUUCGCAGGUGGACAAGUCUGAUUCCGGCCUGAUAUCGAAUCGCAAGAAAUUUCGGACUGGUUCUGUUUAGCCUGGAGAACAGAACGAGACAUUACAGGCUAAGGCAAAAUUUUGGGUGUCCGUCCCCGUGUUUUGCCCUACAAUCAACGACAGAAUAAGCAUGUAGAAAGCUUACCUGUUUGGUGUUUGGACGAGGGUUCGACUCCCUCCAGCUCCACUU